This 563-nucleotide ribosomal RNA is filed under the name uncultured Campylobacterota bacterium. RNAcentral describes it as "bacterial SSU rRNA". It matches the Rfam family "Bacterial small subunit ribosomal RNA", at positions 838 to 1396 of the family's 1533-position model. Lineage: Bacteria; Pseudomonadati; Campylobacterota. The record is from RNAcentral.
AAGCAGUAAUGCAGUUAACACAUUAAUUGUGCCGCCUGGGGAGUACGGUCGCAAGAUUAAAACUCAAAGGAAUAGACGGGGACCCGCACAAGCGGUGGAGCAUGUGGUUUAAUUCGACGAUACGCGAAGAACCUUACCUGGCCUUGACAUAGAAAGAAUUUAGCAGAGAUGUAAAAGUGCUAGUUUACUAGAGCUUUCAUACAGGUGCUGCACGGCUGUCGUCAGCUCGUGUCGUGAGAUGUUAGGUUAAGUCCUGCAACGAGCGCAACCCUCGUGUUUAGUUACUAACAGAUUAUGCUGAGGACUCUAGACAUACUGCCUGGGCAACCAGGAGGAAGGUGAGGACGACGUCAAGUCAUCAUGGCCCUUACGGCCAGGGCUACACACGUGCUACAAUGGGGUAUACAAAGAGCAGCGAUACCGCGAGGUGGAGCAAAUCUCAUAAAAUAUCUCCCAGUUCGGAUUACACUCUGCAACUCGAGUGUAUGAAGUUGGAAUCGCUAGUAAUCGUAGAUCAGCAAUGCUACGGUGAAUACGUUCCCGGGUCUUGUACUCACCGCCCG